RNAcentral lists this ribosomal RNA (253 nucleotides) under uncultured bacterium. Its description in RNAcentral is "partial 16S ribosomal RNA". It matches the Rfam family "Bacterial small subunit ribosomal RNA", at positions 524 to 776 of the family's 1533-position model. The record is from RNAcentral.
UACGGGGGGAGCAAGCGUUGUUCGGAUUUACUGGGCGUAAAGGGCUCGUAGGCGGCCAACUAAGUCGGAUGUGAAAUCCCCAAGCUUAACUUGGGAACUGCAUCCGAUACUGGAUGGCUUGAAUCCGGGAGAGGGAUGCAGAAUUCCAGGUGUAGCGGUGAAAUGCGUAGAUAUCUGGAGGAAUACCGGUGGCGAAGGCGGCAUCCUGGACCGGCAUUGACGCUGAGGAGCGAAAGCUAGGGGAGCAAACGGG